GACGAACGCUGGCGGCGUGCUUAACACAUGCAAGUCGAACGGAAAGGCCCUGCUUUUGUGGGGUGCUCGAGUGGCGAACGGGUGAGUAACACGUGAGUAACCUGCCCUUGACUUUGGGAUAACUUCAGGAAACUGGGGCUAAUACCGGAUAGGAGCUCCUGCUGCAUGGUGGGGGUUGGAAAGUUUCGGCGGUUGGGGAUGGACUCGCGGCUUAUCAGCUUGUUGGUGGGGUAGUGGCUUACCAAGGCUUUGACGGGUAGCCGGCCUGAGAGGGUGACCGGCCACAUUGGGACUGAGAUACGGCCCAGACUCCUACGGGAGGCAGCAGUGGGGAAUAUUGCACAAUGGGCGGAAGCCUGAUGCAGCAACGCCGCGUGCGGGAUGACGGCCUUCGGGUUGUAAACCGCUUUCGCCUGUGACGAAGCGUGAGUGACGGUAAUGGGUAAAGAAGCACCGGCUAACUACGUGCCAGCAGCCGCGGUGAUACGUAGGGUGCGAGCGUUGUCCGGAUUUAUUGGGCGUAAAGGGCUCGUAGGUGGUUGAUCGCGUCGGAAGUGUAAUCUUGGGGCUUAACCCUGAGCGUGCUUUCGAUACGGGUUGACUUGAGGAAGGUAGGGGAGAAUGGAAUCCCUGGUGGAGCGGUGGAAUGCGCAGAUAUCAGGAGGAACACCAGUGGCGAAGGCGGUUCUCUGGGCCUUUCCUGACGCUGAGGAGCGAAAGCGUGGGGAGCGAACAGGCUUAGGUACCCUGGUAGUCCACGCUGUAAACGGUGGGUACUAGGUGUGGGGUCCAUUCCACGGGUUCCGUGCCGUAGCUAACGCUUUAAGUACCCCGCCUGGGGAGUACGGCCGCAAGGCUAAAACUCAAAGGAAUUGACGGGGCCCCGCACAAGCGGCGGAGCAUGCGGAUUAAUUCGAUGCAACGCGUAGAACCUUACCUGGGUUUGACAUGGAUCGGGAGUGCUCAGAGAUGGGUGUGCCUCUUUUGGGGUCGGUUCACAGGUGGUGCAUGGCUGUCGUCAGCUCGUGUCGUGAGAUGUUGGGUUAAGUCCCGCAACGAGCGCAACCCUUGUUCACUGUUGCCAGCACGUUAUGGUGGGGACUCAGUGGAGACCGCCGGGGUCAACUCGGAGGAAGGUGGGGAUGACGUCAAGUCAUCAUGCCCCUUAUGUCCAGGGCUUCACGCAUGCUACAAUGGCUGGUACAGAGAGUGGCGAGCCUGUGAGGGUGAGCGAAUCUCGGAAAGCCGGUCUCAGUUCGGAUUGGGGUCUGCAACUCGACCUCAUGAAGUCGGAGUCGCUAGUAAUCGCAGAUCAGCAACGCUGCGGUGAAUAAGUUCCCGGGGCU
This 1346-nucleotide ribosomal RNA is filed under the name uncultured bacterium. RNAcentral describes it as "partial 16S ribosomal RNA". It matches the Rfam family "Bacterial small subunit ribosomal RNA", at positions 28 to 1381 of the family's 1533-position model. The record is from RNAcentral.